AUCGAAACGGUGUCGUCGUUAGGAAUCCCCAUUGAAGCACGGAAACCUAACGUUGAGAUUGACGGCGUUUCUGUGUCCAGAUCCUCCGCGCCGCCGCCACCUGCUCACAGAGUUUCAAGCUUACCGGAUAUUCAGGUUGAAUUGUUAGUAGGAUGGAUGAAGUGCAAGUUGUAUUGUUGUAACAGACUUACGAUAAAUUGCGUCACUGGAGAAUUCGCGCGAAUUGGAAAGGGAAGAAGAAGACAAUACAGUUCUACAAAAGUGAAAAAUGAAAUUUGUAAAUUCAUAAAAAUGAUGAAAAUACGUGUUUCUGAUGAAUCAUGAAAGUGACUUUUGUUUCA
This is a long non-coding RNA of Chenopodium quinoa (quinoa), 341 nucleotides long. RefSeq lists it as uncharacterized. The transcript has 2 exons. Lineage: Eukaryota; Viridiplantae; Streptophyta; Magnoliopsida; Caryophyllales; Amaranthaceae. The record is from RefSeq and is a predicted model, not a curated record.